Long non-coding RNA from Gallus gallus (chicken), 9070 nucleotides. Lineage: Eukaryota; Metazoa; Chordata; Aves; Galliformes; Phasianidae. The record is from Ensembl.
GUCCAGUAACAACCACAGUUGUGUUUGCGAGAUUUGUGUGAUGACAGCCCGAGCGCCUCCCCAGCAUUUUGUUUCUUCCUGUGCCAGGGUGCUGGCUUAGCCCGCAUCCAGCAGCACCCAGGGCUUGCUCUCCCACGCUCUGCUCAGCACAUCCCACCUUGCACCGUGCUGGCAAAGGUGAGAAUGGAGAAGGACUGGUAAAACACUUUUUUCCAUCUUGCAGAUUGCACUUGCGCUGCUUAUCUGGCUGCUUGAUCCAUGAGAACGUGUCUCGGAGCAUCUGGAAACGUGUGGAUAGCUUCCAUCCCCUCCCAGAGACUUGCGGGUCCUGGCUGCGCGCAGGAGGAGGAUGGGAGAUUUGGAGCCGUGGCCGCUCUGCAUGGCAACAUGCCUGUGAGGUUUGCUGUGCUUGGAUAGAGCAGAACUGUGCAAAAACAGAACAAGAUGGGAUUUUUCCAGGUUUAAUUUGAGCUUUAACUUGUUCCAAGUGUAACAUUGAGAUCUUACCGCUUCUUUUGUUUUCCACGCUCCGCUGCGCUCUGUGGCAGCAGCAGUCACAAGUGUCAGACCAUCAACUAAGCCUGGUUUUGAGUUGAGUGUGAAGGAAACUACACUGACAAUGAAAACACUCGCGGGGUAUUUCCAUGCCAAGGCUGUGUGCAGGUUUGGCACCCCUCCUCCCUUUGCACACCCCACAGUGAUGUUGGAGCUCAGUGGGUGAAGGUGGGAGCGGGGCCACUCGUGGCAGCCAUGGUGCAUGGGUCCGGUGGGAUUUGCGUCUCUAUUUCUCUGUUGCUGUUCUGAGUGGAGCUUGUGUGAGUAAACCUAUUGUGGUUUUAAGUUAACGUGCAAUUGGACAAGGAAGAUUAUUUGAGUGUUUGCUCUGUAUGUUUCUCCUUUGUCUUUUGUCUUGCUUGACUGAUACACAGCAAUGCACUUUGGCAACCUCAGCCUACCCCUCUACUCUCAUUAGCACUCCAGCAUGUGUUUUUACUUUAUGGAGGGCCGCACGGCGUUGCGGAUGGCAAUGGGAGAGGAGGUGGUGUGGGUAUGUGGCAACCACUUCUAGCACUGACAGCAUCCUGGCAUUUUUGAGAAGCCAGAGUUGUCACACGGUUUGUUCUGAAAGCCAUUUGCAAUCUUAACUGUAGUAACAGUCAUAAUCAUCGUCCCGCUAGUGCAGAGGAUGUGUGGGAGAAACAGGCCUCCUUGAAAAUUCCCUCCGAGGCCGUGCCAAGCCUGAAGCAAUCUUUUUUUCAUGACGGAAAGCCAUUCUCACGGCGGUGGGUAGCAGCCCAGCUGCGACGUGUCAGCGCCGAGCGCUGCGUCCCGCUCUGGAGCAGCACGGCUCCGCUGCAUCCUCUCGUCAAGUGUGUAGGAGGCGGCGUGGUCGUUUCUGCAGAAGCAGGGAAAUGCAGCCCUGGCUGUGCUGCGAUGUCCUCUGAGUCAGCAGAGCGGCCCUGUGCCCUCCCGGCCUCGCAGCCUGCUGCAUGGAGCGGCGGUGCCGCAUGGCAGCCCCUGGGACGCAGCGCAGCCACACACAACGGAUGGGGCUGUCAGAGCCGUGCUGUGUGCUUAUGGCUGGGGAGGUGCUCUGGGCACAGGGCUUGUCGCUGCUGCAGAAAAUUGCCCCACAGGGGGUCGUUUCUUGUGCUUCUUCCCAGCCUGAUAGCGUGUGGUAGGAUGGAGCUUUGGAAGCUGGAUGAAAAUCAGUUCUGAGUUUAAAAAUGCAGCCAGGUGUGGUCGGUCGAGUCAUUUUUCUGCCUCCUGAUGCUUCAUAGACAUGUCAGCAGUGGACAUCAUCACAAGCAUAAGGAACGAAGUGAUCUAAAACUCUCCACCAAGCAGGGAAGUAGCAUUAAUCUUGUUUUAUUCAGAGGGAGAUGGAAAUAAAGGAGUUUGAUACAGCUUGUCCAACAUCACAUGGAGGAUCUCUUUUACAAAAACCAGAUCUCUCAUCUCUUAAUCUGAGGCAUUAGCUGCAGCAACAUCCUUCUUCCUUAACGUCCCUUCAUGCAUGCAGUAACUUUGCACUAACGGUCUGUUUUUAUUGGGCAUCGCCUUGAGAAAUGAUUUCUUUGAGCCCCGGCCAACUCACUCACUGGCUUUUGUUCAGCUGUAAUGAGAUGGCUUAACAUAAAUUCAGGAGCAUGCCAGGGCUUUGCACCUGAACAGGCAGCCAGAGGUCUGAACCCUACGUCCAACACUUAGAAAAACAUCCCCGGAUGUUGUUUGCAGAGAAUCAGUGAGGAAGAGGAUGAAUGCAGAUGUGUGACACGUGCCAGCUGCAGCGAUCUCAGGUACUUGGGCCUGAUUCUUUCUCGUGUUACGCUGUAUCAUUGCUCCCUGGUUCAGUCUGCAUCUUUUCUGUCAGAGAGGCAGGGAGGGGAAGAUGUGGCCUCACAUCAGCGAUGUUGGGCCCAAGCAUGACUCCAGAGAGGCUGGCUGAUUGGGGGCAGAAGGAAGCGAGGUUUUGGUGGUGGUAGAGGGGCAGUGCUGGGUCCUACAGCAGAAUGGGGCAGUGGGAGUGCCAGGGCCUUCCGUGCCACCCUGAUUCUGAACAGUAUUGCUGUGACUGACUUUGUUUGCUGUUUGCAAUAGUUUUCUCUUUGGGUCCCAGACCAGGCAGUUUUUGGCUUGGUUUUAAUUACCAUCUGACCUCCUCACUGCUAGUUCUCUUCUGCACUUGCUGUGUUGCAGUCAUUUUGCUCUGGGCGGUAUUCUGGGAAAAACUAGGACAAGCUCCUUGGUGCCUUUGGUAGAUGUUAUGCCUGGAAGGUGGCCCAGUGCUGUAAGAAAUGCUCCUGACUGAGUAAGAGAAGCCAAGAAGUAAAAAGUUAGGAUAGCAUUCCAGUUAAAACAUGGGAGCACCUCUUGCCAUUUCAGAGUGGCUUAGCCUAUGUCAUCACAGUGCUGAAAGAAAGGAGGGUCUGGAUGCCGCAGCUCCCAGGAGAGUACUGAUCAUAUAAACAACAAUGAAAAGCUUCCAGUGAUAGCCUGGAACACCACCUUCUGUCUGUCUGUGUAGUGCUGGGGAGGACAGCCCCACAAGGCAGGCCCCAGCGUGCGCUCCUGUCGGUGUGGGUGCUGCUGGCAAGAGGUGGUGGUUCUGCUAUGGGUUUGUCAAGUCCUUUUUCUAACGGGGCUCUGGCCUGAUGGUGCUGUAGCUGUGUAAAGGGUGAAUAUUGAAAUGUUAUUAUCUAGUCCUGAGCAGGCACAAACUCGCUGUUUUUCAUCCCUGCUGAAUUUGCCAUCCCUACUGAGUUAUUCUUAGAAUGUUGUUGAAUAAAAGCCUAGCUUGUCAGCAUGGCUUCUUUUUGAUUGUAUUUGUGCACUGAGUCUAACCUACGGACAAUGGCGAGCGUCAUACUGAUUUGUGGAAAUGCUCCUAAUUCUUUGUCUUGUGCCUUUUUAAAUGAAGCAGUCUCUGAAGUGUUUAUCUACAGCGCAUAAAAGCCCCUAUAAAUGGAUGCAUAUUCCUAACUUUAUAAGACUUGCAUAUUAAUCUGCUUAUUUUCUGCCUGAACAAAGGGCCUCCGGAACCCACAAACGUAGUCAUAAUUCUCCUGAUCUGGUUUGCUGCAAGGUUUUGCUUGACUACACAGAUGUUUUCCAUGUAUUUGGCAAAAGAGGGGUCAAAGCCUGCAUCUGGCCCACUAUUUCUGGCAAAAACCCCGAUGUGCUUAAUCCUUUUUGAACAUGAAUAUUCUGAGAGCUCAUUUGAUUUAUUAACCUGAUUAUUUUAAUGUGGAGAAACAAUGUGGAACAGUGACCUUCGUUCAGGAAAAUGCUUGUCCAAGUGUUUCUGCUCUGAAUCCGUCCAAGCUCAAUGCAGAGUGUGUGAAGGACUGGUGUACACCACAGGGCUACUCAGGGACACAGUUUUCAAAGUUGGCUGCCUAAAAGAAAGCAUCUUUAACGAGAGCGGCUGGGUUUCAGAAGCUGCUGAGGAGCCACUGAUGCCAAGCAGAGCCCAAUUUACAAUCACUGAGCCAAGUUUUUCUUUAUAACUGCAAACCCUGAGAAAUCUCAAUGGGAAAAGAAAUCUGGAUGUUUCAAAACGUACUUCUUUUCAUUCUGCAUGUAUGGCAUGGAUUGAAUAGCAGUCAUCCAGAAAGCAGAAAUACCAGUGUCAGAGUCAGAACGCUUAUACAGGGUAGAGAUUUGCUGUUCCAUUUCACUCUUCUAUCCUGGUGUGACUUUGUGACCUCAAGAAAUCCCUUUCUAUCAUGAAAGCUGUCUCCAAGAAUUGGCACCUUUGUGAUUACAUCUCAUUUCUGGUGCUGGAGAGCUGCAUCCAGGAGCUCAAGCUGUGAAGUGGUGAACAAAGCCCUCUGCUAUGUUGUGCUUCUUCACAUAGAUGAAAAUGGACACAAAGAAGCUGGAUUGUGUCUUAAGGUGAAGAAAGAUGCAGCAGCAACUUUGUGAUGGUGCUCCUGGAGAGCAGCGCGGUGCAGCUGGGCUGUGGGGACCACCAGCAUCCCUGCCUCUGCAUCACCCCAUCCAGCACUGGGAAGCACUUCUGUAGGCGUGGAGGUUUCCAUCUUCCAGGCUGUUUGGGCAUGGAGUGCUCCAACAAGGUCACUGACUUGCCCUGUUAUUCUGAAGGUCUCCAUAUCCAUGUGACAUGUGCAGUCCAUGUGAACUAUCUACAGACAUUAGAGAUUUACACUUUUUGUAGACCUUUGAGGAUGCAAAUCCUACAAGUUGCACUUUAAAGAUCUUCUGCUUGGCGUCACAGCCCCAUCCGUGCCAUCUGGAGGAGCGGAGCAGCCCCGAGCUGGCUGAUGGAGACAAGCUGAAACCAGACGUAUAUCUGUGGAGAUCUAUUCUUCUGAAGCACGGACAGAUUUCCUGAGCGCCACCAUUCCAAAGGCAGGCACAGGGAUGCAGCACCAGGCACCAAAGCAUUGUCCAGCCCAUCAGCACAAAGUGACAUGAGAGGGUGUCUGGACUAAAGUAUAGGCAAGAGAAGCUAAACUAAGCCCUACUAAGCAGAGCAACGUCCCAGUCCUGCAAGAAGCUGGUGCUGAAGUGCAAAAGGGUCUGCAAAAACUGAAGACAAAGGAAGCCUCAAAAUAGUGAAACUUCAGAUGAGAAAUUCUUGUGUGUGAGUUCUGGUUUGUUUGUUUGUUUGUUUGUUUUUAAUAUUCCCUACAACCUCUUUAUCUCUUUUACAUUUGAAUGAACUAAAGAAACCAAAAUCUGAGGAAACUGGCUGUGGCAGAAAGCAGAGCCAAGGCCAGGUUUCCAGGGGAUGAGUAAGAAAGAAACCUACAGCAAGUAACCAAAACCAAAACCCAGCCUCGAGCUGUUAUCAUCAAGUUAUCUUGAGUAAACUAUGUAUUGUGUAUUUCCUGAAGAGCAUGACCAAAAUUCAUUGAGACCAUUGCUCUCUCAGUAGGUUAUGGCGAAAUGCCCAACUAAUGUUGUAUGCCUCCUUUUUGAUUCAUAGCCAAAAGGAUUUGUUGGUUUGUUUUCACUCAUUCCUUACUCAUGAAAAAGAAGUGAGCUUAAUGGGUUUUGCAAUUCAUUUUUCAUUUGUUCGGGAGCACUUCCUCCAUCCAAACCAUAGACAGAUUGUUUCCCAGCAUAGAAAAAUCUGUACUGAUGUGGCUGAGAUUUAGCCACCUCAUUUGCUCUACCAGGAGCGCUCUGAACUUCUGCAGGGCACAGUGAGUUUCUGGUGGCAGCACCAAACUUGACUUAUUCCAAAAAACUUCCCCAAAUUGUAAAGUAUCACUGAAAAGAAAGAAAACACAAUUGUCUUCAACCACUAUGGCUGCCCUAAUUUGAAUCACAUGGGAAAGCGCUUUGUUAAUGGCUUUGUUCUUUUACUCCUUGUUGGCAAUACAACAAAACAAAACGCCCCAUUCUUUGUUGUUUUUCCUUUAUGUGUUGCUUUUCCAUCUGGUUUGAGAAGAAACUGGCCUCCUGGGUCAGUAAUCAUGUUGAAAGACUUGAGAACUGGGGUAGAUUCCCUCAAAUUCCUGAAUAACCCCUGACUGACCACUUUACCUCCACUGCUCUUCUGUAAAAUGGCAGUAAGUUGACUUUACCUCCUAGGGCCUUUGUUAGAAAAUGUAUUUAUUGCUGUGCCCAGGUACCCAAAAUUCAAGGCAAAUGCGUGUUGUAUUUUUCAUUCAGCAUGUCCAGUGUAGAGUUUAAGCUAAUAUGCCCCGAUUAUGGCUCAUGAUGAUGCGAUGAUUCGUAAGAGGAACAAGUUGGAAUAGAUUGAAAUAUAUACAUGUAAAAGAAGCGUGUGCGGCCUCCCAGCACUCUUUGAAAUAUAAAUGUGAGAAUUCCUUUAGGUGUAGUGCUGGAAGCCCUGGAAACCCUCAUGCCAGCUCACACGGGCAGGUGCUGAGCAGAAGGAGCAUGCCAGGAGACACAGAAGAUUUGGUUCCUGCCAGCAGGCCGCAAAGGCUGCAGCCCCACAGUGCUCUGUUGUUGCAAGCCUAGGACAGGCAGUGGGAUGCACCCUGUGAGUGCUGCCUUCUGCUUUCAAGCUCAGGCAGAAGGCUUAUUGCGGUAUGCCCUGGACCUGGGUAUUGGUUUUGUGUUUUGUUUGUGUUGUGCUUUUUUCCUUGUCUGCUUUUUUACCACCAAUUUUUCUGAGUUCAAUUUUCAUUUGAUUCCCUCUCUUAGGCUAUUAUUUACAAUCGAACAGCAAAAUGUUACAGGCUGAGCAGGCAGGGCACUAUAUAUAGCAAAAGCAGGGCAGUUCCCUGCUCUAAUCAUCUCCUGCUGCUUUUAUGUAGAUAGUAAAUGAUGGGCCACAGGGUGAGCUGCAAUUCAGCUCUAGGAAAUGCAUGUCAAAGGAGUUUAAGCACUGCAUCCUGCCCACACCAAGAGGAGGUAAUUUGGGCUUGACAUGGCAGUACUGGGUUUUCACAGAGCUGAAGAGUUUCAGAUGAGAUCUUGUGUCCUUUGGCCGAGCGCCCAGAGAGCCCAUGUUUCAGAAUAGGAUAUUUACAACAGCAAACUGUAGCGUUCCCCGCUUUGAGUAACAGGCAGAUUUCAGCCAAAACAAAACAAAAGAAAAGCAGCCUUCAUUCACACCGUCCCCCUCUGCUGACCCUGCUGUCGUGCUCAGCCUCUCUCAGCCCUGGGUAGCGGGCCUGCCUCGGCUGGGGACAGCCUCACGGCUGCCAUUUGCUUUGUUUGUGCUUCAGGCUCCUUCCACUGCCUCGCCUCCCCCGAGCCGCCUGGCUUGCACUGGCCUUUUUCCCUCUGCCAAGCCUGCUUCACUGCCUGCUCAGGUCUGGGGCCGUUCUGCUGCCUGCUCUUUUUACAGCAGUCCAAGUGAGCAGAAAUAGUUGAACCAACAAUAAAAGUUUGCCAGCUCUGGUCAUUUGGGUCCUACAACUGAAACACAGUGUGAGAAAGCUUAAGCAGGAGCUUUGCUGAUGGGGCUUAGUCCCAAAUCCAUGCAAAUCCAAGGUAAUCUGGAAGCUGCUCGCUGCCCUUUCUUAGCAUCACGGUGUCAAAAGGCUUCAGCAGAGCAGGAGCUGAAGGAGCCAGGAGCUGUGUGCAUGCCUUGUCAGAGAAAGUUUGUGAGCUGAAGGUUUUAUAAGCUGCCUGUUUCAAACAGCAAGAAAGUUGAGUGCAGCAGUUCUGCUCUCACCAGCACAGAGCCAAGGGAUGCAGGCUCAGGUCCAGCUCUGAGCAGCAACCGAGGCGCUGCAAUGCAAAGGAGUAGGCAAGUUGCUGAGGACAAGGCCCUUAGUUAUUUUUUCUGCCCAGCUGAAGGAUUGUUCAUGCAUUUUAUUCACCGUCUGAUUAAUGUGAAGUACAAAAGCACUCUGCCUUUGCAAGCAGGAGUGAAACUGCAGUCUCCACCCUCCCAGAGGAAUGACUUAAAUGUGAAGCUCUGGUGUCGUGCUCUUCCUUUCCUUCUAUCUGAUCAAAUGCAUUUUUAAUUCUUUAAUGCAAAGUAGGAAAGCAUCAGUACGAGAGUUUAAGAGCUCUGCUUUGUUCCAGAAAAGCCUCAACCAUGGUUGCUAAAGAGCUCCGCUGGGAACACAGGCACAGCUCCUGCCUUUGUGGGAGCUAACAUUGAACUCCUGUGCUCGGCGACCACCUACCGCACUGCACGAGCAAGAGGUCACUUGUUGGCAUGCAGCACCAGGUACAGCGGCAUUUCCUCCCUGGUGGUCUCGGGAGGGGCUCAGAGGAGGGCUGCCUGGGACCCCAAGCUCCGGCCCUGUGCACCAAGAGCAGAGGUGCAGGGUUAGCCACACCACGGCAUGAGCUCUUCAUUGUCCACUACUGGGUUUCAACACGCUUCGGGAAGGCGCCAUUCCUUAGGAGCUGUCUUAUGCUCUACUGCCUACGUGAAAUGCAGAUGGACCCAGUGGUCUGCCCAAAAUGAAAUAAAAGCUGGAUGUGCUGUUCAUUCCAGAUGUUUCCAGAACAGAUGCAAAACAUUCCAGGGUCGCUCUUCUCAAGGUGUUGGGGUCACUUGCUGGAUUGUUUUCAUUGAAGGCUCGGUACGACCCAAGUCACCGAUCCUUUCCAGUUAAGUCACUUCAGAUGAACACAGUGAAAGCCAAUAAAUAAACAGGAGAACUGCUGAUUGGAAAUGUUUUCCUAUUGCUGCCACCAGUAAAAGCAGCCAGCAAUCUGCUGUGUUUGCAGGGUGAAACAGAGUACAGACUUUUUAGUCCUCAAUCCAGCGCUCACCUAAGAGAUUUAGGGCCAGAUAUCCCAUUUAUUUACACCUAUGUAAAAUUAAGGACAUUUCAUCCAAGUUAAUGUACCACCAGGUGGUGGAUUUUGCCUCAGAUCUCAUUAUUUGUUGGACUUCAAUUUAUAUUCAGCCACUGUGCAUAUACACACAUACAAAGCGGUAAUUUUUUACCAACAAUAGGAGUGGAGUUUGCUAUAUAAAUCAGCGUUUCUCAGUCAAUAUGUUGCAACCCCUGCAGGGGUUAUAAAAACCAUCUGGGGGCCUGUAAAGCACCGAAAAUUUUAUAACAAUCUAAAGCAAAGAAAAUGUCAUUUCUUCCACUCUCCAUAUAGCAGCACCAUUCUGUUGGCAGCCUGUCAAAACCAUCCAAGAAACAAU